This 408-nucleotide ribosomal RNA is filed under the name uncultured bacterium. RNAcentral's name for it is "partial 16S ribosomal RNA". It matches the Rfam family "Bacterial small subunit ribosomal RNA", at positions 28 to 526 of the family's 1533-position model. The record is from RNAcentral.
GACGAACGCUGGCGGAGUGCCUAAUACAUGCAAGUAGAACGCAGUUGCGAACGGGUGAGCAACGCGUAGGUAACCUGCCUCAUAGCGGGGGAUAACUAUUGGAAACGAUAGCUAAUACCGCAUCCUUCGGGAUGGACAUGCGUUGUAUUAGCUAGUUGGUGAGGGAAAGGCUCACCAAGGCGACGAUACAUAGCCGACGUGUGAGGGUGGUCGGCCACCAUGGGACUGAGAAAAGGCCCAGACUGCUACGGGAGGGAGCCAUAGGGAAUCUUGGGCAAAGGACGGAAGGCUGACGAAGCAACGCCGCGUGGGUGGAGAAGGUUUUCGGGUCGUAAAGCUCUGUUGAUGGAGGAGCGGUAACAAACCAGAAAGAGACGGCUAACUACGUGCCAGCAGCCGCGGUAAUAC